UCUGUAGGCGGUGCGGCAAGUCGGAAGUGAAAUCUCAGGGCUUAACCCCUGAGGCUGCUCCCGAAACUGCUGUGCUCGAGUGCGAGAGAGGUGAGUGGAAUUGCAGGUGUAGCGGUGAAAUGCGUAGAUAUCUGCAGGAACAUCCGAGGCGAAAGCGGCUCACUGGAUCGCAACUGCGCUGAGAGACGAAAGCUAGGGGAGCAAACA
RNAcentral lists this ribosomal RNA (207 nucleotides) under uncultured bacterium. RNAcentral's name for it is "partial 16S ribosomal RNA". It matches the Rfam family "Bacterial small subunit ribosomal RNA", at positions 568 to 774 of the family's 1533-position model. The record is from RNAcentral.